Molecule: ribosomal RNA, 253 nt
Filed under: uncultured bacterium
Lineage: Bacteria
Description: partial 16S ribosomal RNA
Rfam family: Bacterial small subunit ribosomal RNA
Source: RNAcentral
UACAGAGGGCGCUAGCGUUGUUCGGAAUCAUUGGGCGUAAAGGGUGCGUAGGUGGCGCUGUAAGUCGGGUGUGAAAUUUCGGAGCUUAACUCCGAAACUGCAUUCGAUACUGCCGUGCUUGAGGACUGGAGAGGAGACUGGAAUUUACGGUGUAGCAGUGAAAUGCGUAGAGAUCGUAAGGAAGACCAGUGGCGAAGGCGGGUCUCUGGACAGUUCCUGACACUGAGGCACGAAGGCCAGGGGAGCAAACGGG